GGCUCUAUUGUCUAAUGGUUAAGACCUUACAUCUUCAUUGUAAAUAUCUUGGUUCGAUUCCAAGUAGGGCUAC
RNAcentral lists this transfer RNA (73 nucleotides) under Schizosaccharomyces pombe (fission yeast). Its description in RNAcentral is "tRNA Glutamic acid (uuc), mitochondrial". It matches the Rfam family "tRNA". From Rfam's summary of the family: Transfer RNA (tRNA) molecules are approximately 80 nucleotides in length. Their secondary structure includes four short double-helical elements and three loops (D, anti-codon, and T loops). Further hydrogen bonds mediate the characteristic L-shaped molecular structure. tRNAs have two regions of fundamental functional importance: the anti-codon, which is responsible for specific mRNA codon recognition, and the 3' end, to which the tRNAs corresponding amino acid is attached (by aminoacyl-tRNA synthetases). tRNAs cope with the degeneracy of the genetic code in two manners: having more than one tRNA (with a specific anti-codon) for a particular amino acid; and 'wobble' base-pairing, i.e. permitting non-standard base-pairing at the 3rd anti-codon position. Lineage: Eukaryota; Fungi; Ascomycota; Schizosaccharomycetes; Schizosaccharomycetales; Schizosaccharomycetaceae. The record is from RNAcentral.